GACGAACGCUGGCGGCGUGCUUAACACAUGCAAGUCGAGCGGUAAGGCUCCUUCGGGAGUACACGAGCGGCGAACGGGUGAGUAACACGUGAGCAAUCUGCCCUUCACUUUGGGAUAACUCCGGGAAACCGGUGCUAAUACCGAAUGCGACCACUUCAGGCAUCUGACGGUGGUGGAAAGUUCCGGCGGUGAAGGAUGAGCUCGCGGCCUAUCAGCUUGUUGGUGAGGUAAUGGCUCGCCAAGGCUUCGACGGGUAGCCGGCCUGAGAGGGUGACCGGCCACACUGGGACUGAGACACGGCCCAGACUCCUACGGGAGGCAGCAGUGGGGAAUAUUGGACAAUGGGCGAAAGCCUGAUCCAGCAACGCCGCGUGAGGGAUGACGGCCUUCGGUUGUAACCGUCUUUCAGCAGGGACGAAGCGAAAGUGACGGUACCUGCAAAAGAAGCACCGGCCAACUACGUGCCAGCAGCCGCGGUAAAGUACGUCUAAU
Molecule: ribosomal RNA, 492 nt
Filed under: uncultured bacterium
Lineage: Bacteria
Description: bacterial SSU rRNA
Rfam family: Bacterial small subunit ribosomal RNA
Source: RNAcentral